GACGAACGCUGGCGGCGUGCUUAACACAUGCAAGUCGAACGGAAAGGCCCUGCUUUUGUGGGGUGCUCGAGUGGCGAACGGGUGAGUAACACGUGAGUAACCUGCCCUUGACUUUGGGAUAACUUCAGGAAACUGGGGCUAAUACCGGAUAGGAGCUCCUGCUGCAUGGUGGGGGUUGGAAAGUGUCGGCGGUUGGGGAUGGACUCGCGGCUUAUCAGCUUGUUGGUGGGGUAGUGGCUUACCAAGGCUUUGACGGGUAGCCGGCCUGAGAGGGUGACCGGCCACAUUGGGCCUGAGAUACGGCCCAGACUCCUACGGGAGGCAGCAGUGGGGAAUAUUGCACAAUGGGCGGAAGCCUGAUGCAGCAACGCCGCGUGCGGGAUGACGGCCUUCGGGUUGUAAACCGCUUUCGCCUGUGACGAAGCGUGAGUGACGGUAAUGGGUAAAGAAGCACCGGCUAACUACGUG
RNAcentral lists this ribosomal RNA (468 nucleotides) under uncultured bacterium. RNAcentral describes it as "partial 16S ribosomal RNA". It matches the Rfam family "Bacterial small subunit ribosomal RNA", at positions 28 to 507 of the family's 1533-position model. The record is from RNAcentral.